RNAcentral lists this ribosomal RNA (244 nucleotides) under uncultured bacterium. RNAcentral describes it as "partial small subunit ribosomal RNA". It matches the Rfam family "Bacterial small subunit ribosomal RNA", at positions 26 to 285 of the family's 1533-position model. The record is from RNAcentral.
AGAAUCAACGCUGGCGGCGUGCCUAACACAUGCAAGUCGAACGAGAAAGUGGAGCAAUCCAUGAGUAAAGUGGCGCACGGGUGAGUAACACGUGACUAACCUACCUUUUAGUGGGGGAUAACCUAGGGAAACCUGGGCUAAUACCGCAUAAUACCUACGGGUCAAAGCAGCAAUGCGCUGAAAGAGGGGUCGCGGCCGAUUAGCUAGUUGGCGGGGUAAUGGCCCACCAAGGCAGUGAUCGGUA